AUUGAACGCUGGCGGCAGGCUUAACACAUGCAAGUCCAGCGAGCGGCGGACGGGUGAGUAAUUUCUGGGAAACUGCCUGAUGGAGGGGGAUAACUACUGGAAACGGUCGCUAAUACCGCAUACCCUCAGAUGUUCCCCGAUGGGAUUAUCUAGUAGGUGGGGUAAUGGAUCACCUAGUCGACGGUCCCUAGCUGGUCUGAGAGGAAGACGUGCAAGACUGUAACUGAGACACGGUACAGACGCCGACGGAAGGCAGGAGAGGUGAAUAUUGCACAAUGGGCGAAAUCCUGAUGCAGACAUGCCGCGUGUGUGAAGAAGGCUUUCGGGUUGUAAAGCACUUUCAGCGAGGAGGCGUUACCCGCAGAAGAAGCACCGGCUAACUCCGUGCCAGCAGCCGGGGGAAUUC
Molecule: ribosomal RNA, 406 nt
Filed under: uncultured bacterium
Lineage: Bacteria
Description: partial 16S ribosomal RNA
Rfam family: Bacterial small subunit ribosomal RNA
Source: RNAcentral